RNAcentral lists this ribosomal RNA (492 nucleotides) under uncultured bacterium. RNAcentral describes it as "partial 16S ribosomal RNA". It matches the Rfam family "Bacterial small subunit ribosomal RNA", at positions 29 to 507 of the family's 1533-position model. The record is from RNAcentral.
AGUGAACGCUGGCGGUAGGCCUAACACAUGCAAGUCGAACGGCAGCACAGUAAGAGCUUGCUCUUACGGGUGGCGAGUGGCGGACGGGUGAGGAAUACAUCGGAAUCUACUUUUUCGUGGGGGAUAACGUAGGGAAACUUACGCUAAUACCGCAUACGACCUACGGGUGAAAGCAGGGGAUCUUCGGACCCUGCGCGAUUGAAUGAGCCGAUGUCGGAUUAGCUAGUUGGCGGGGGAAAGGCCCACCAAGGCGACGAUCCGUAGCUGGUCUGAGAGGAUGAUCGGCCACACUGGAACUGAGACACGGUCCAGACUCCUACGGGAGGCAGCAGUGGGGAAUAUUGGACAAUGGGCGCAAGCCUGGUCCAGCCAUACCGCGUGGGUGAAGAAGGCCUUCGGGUUGUAAAGCCCUUUUGUUGGGAAAGAAAAGCAGCAGGUUAAUACCCCGCUGUUCUGACGGUACCCAAAGAAUAAGCACCGGCUAACUUCGUG